This 301-nucleotide ribosomal RNA is filed under the name uncultured bacterium. Its description in RNAcentral is "partial 16S ribosomal RNA". It matches the Rfam family "Bacterial small subunit ribosomal RNA", at positions 509 to 807 of the family's 1533-position model. The record is from RNAcentral.
CAGUCGCCACGGGAAUACGGAGGGCGCGAGCGUUACCCGGAUUUACUGGGCGUAAAGGGCGUGUAGGCGGCCUGGGGCGUCCCAUGUGAAAGGCCACGGCUCAACCGUGGAGGAGCGUGGGAUACGCUCAGGCUAGAGGGUGGGAGAGGGUGGUGGAAUUCCCGGAGUAGCGGUGAAAUGCGCAGAUACCGGGAGGAACGCCGAUGGCGAAGGCAGCCACCUGGUCCACUUCUGACGCUGAGGCGCGAAAGCGUGGGGAGCAAACCGGAUUAGAGACCCGCGUAGUCCCUGUCUCUUAUAC